UACGGAGGAUGCGAGCGUUAUCCGGAUUUAUUGGGUUUAAAGGGUGCGUAGGCGGUUCGUUAAGUCAGUGGUCAAAUUGAGGGGCUCAACCCCUUCCCGCCAUUGAAACUGGCGACCUUGAGUGGAAGAGAAGUAUGCGGAAUGCGUGGUGUAGCGGUGAAAUGCAUAGAUAUCACGCAGAACCCCGAUUGCGAAGGCAGCAUGCCGGCUUCCUACUGACGCUGAAGCACGAAAGCGUGGGGAUCGAACAGG
Molecule: ribosomal RNA, 252 nt
Filed under: uncultured bacterium
Lineage: Bacteria
Description: partial 16S ribosomal RNA
Rfam family: Bacterial small subunit ribosomal RNA
Source: RNAcentral